Molecule: long non-coding RNA, 520 nt
Organism: Sceloporus undulatus (fence lizard)
Lineage: Eukaryota; Metazoa; Chordata; Lepidosauria; Squamata; Phrynosomatidae
Exons: 4
Source: RefSeq, a predicted model, not a curated record
GUUAUCUCAGACCAGCACCCUGUAUUCACAUUAUGAAUCAGGAAGAUGUCUACCAUUCUAUCCAGUAGGAUCCCAAAGCCAACUGCAAGUUCUGGGGCCCCUGUAAUCUUGAAAAUCCAUUCCCCUGCAACCUGGAAGUUCUGCAUCAUACAAGGAAAGGAAGACUAAUAGACAAAAUUCUCCCACUUCACCUCAAUGCUGGCAAAAAAAUGGAGGAACUUUCAUUGUUUUUUUUCCUGCAAAUGCUAUUCAGCUUCCUGACAGCAAUGCUACUCUGUUGAACACCUGGAUGACAGAGUAAGCUUCCUCUUUUAUACAAUGGUAGCAGCUUAUGUGCUCAACUGUGUGAGGGCAGGAACUGAAGACUGUUUCCUCGGAAAACAAGAGAAAGCUGAAUGUCACCAUUGCAGAUCCUGGAGCCAGAGACUGGAUUUGUGAGUGAGAGUGUAAAGGCUGCCCUGGGUCCUGUAUAAGAAGAGAGGCAGGAUAUAAAUCAAAUAAAUAAAUACAUUUGCUGUGA